GCGUGCGCAGGCGGUUGUGUAAGACAGAUGUGAAAUCCCCGGGCUCAACCUGGGAACUGCGUUUGUGACUGCACAACUAGAGUACGGCAGAGGGAGGUGGAAUUCCGCGUGUAGCAGUGAAAUGCGUAGAGAUGCGGAGGAACACCGAUGGCGAAGGCAGCCUCCUGGGCCAGUACUGACGCUCAUGCACGAAAGCGUGGGGAGCAAACAGGAUUAGAUACCCUGGUAGUCCACGCCCUAAACGAUGUCAACUAGUUGUUCGGUGAGGAGACUCAUUGAGUAACGCAGCUAACGCGUGAAGUUGACCGCCUGGGGAGUACGGCCGCAAGGUUAAAACUCAAAGGAAUUGACGGGGACCCGCACAAGCGGUGGAUGAUGUGGAUUAAUUCGAUGCAACGCGAAAAACCUUACCUACCCUUGACAUGCCAGGAACUUGCCAGAGAUGGCUUGGUGCCCGAAAGGGAGCCUGGACACAGGUGCUGCAUGGCUGUCGUCA
Molecule: ribosomal RNA, 496 nt
Filed under: uncultured bacterium
Lineage: Bacteria
Description: bacterial SSU rRNA
Rfam family: Bacterial small subunit ribosomal RNA
Source: RNAcentral